Molecule: ribosomal RNA, 510 nt
Filed under: uncultured bacterium
Lineage: Bacteria
Description: bacterial SSU rRNA
Rfam family: Bacterial small subunit ribosomal RNA
Source: RNAcentral
UCCUGGCUCAGGAUGAACGCUAGCUACAGGCUUAACACAUGCAAGUCGAGGGGCAGCAUGAAGUUGCUUGCAAACUUGAUGGCGACCGGCGCACGGGUGGGUAACGCGUAUCCAACCUUCCCUAUACUAGAGGAUAGCCCGGCGAAAGUCGGAUUAAUACUCUAUGUUCUUCGUAGAAGACAUCUGAAAUGAAGCAAAGGUUUACCGGUAUAGGAUGGGGAUGCGUCUGAUUAGGUUGUUGGCGGGGUAACGGCCCACCAAGCCCACGAUCAGUAGGGGUUCUGAGAGGAAGGUCCCCCACAUUGGAACUGAGACACGGUCCAAACUCCUACGGGAGGCAGCAGUGAGGAAUAUUGGUCAAUGGACGAGAGUCUGAACCAGCCAAGUAGCGUGCAGGAUGACGGCCCUAUGGGUUGUAAACUGCUUUUAUACAGGGAUAAAGUGACGUACGUGUACGUUUUUGUAGGUACUGUAUGAAUAAGGACCGGCUAAUUCCGUGCCAGCAGCCGC